AAAUUGAAGAGUUUGAUCAUGGCUCAGAUUGAACGCUGGCGGCAGGCCUAACACAUGCAAGUCGAACGGUAACAGGAAACAGCUUGCUGUUUCGCUGACGAGUGGCGGACGGGUGAGUAAUGUCUGGGAAACUGCCUGAUGGAGGGGGAUAACUACUGGAAACGGUAGCUAAUACCGCAUAACGUCGCAAGACCAAAGAGGGGGACCUUCGGGCCUCUUGCCAUCGGAUGUGCCCAGAUGGGAUUAGCUAGUAGGUGGGGUAAA
This 264-nucleotide ribosomal RNA is filed under the name Escherichia coli. Its description in RNAcentral is "partial 16S ribosomal RNA". It matches the Rfam family "Bacterial small subunit ribosomal RNA", at positions 1 to 261 of the family's 1533-position model. Lineage: Bacteria; Pseudomonadati; Pseudomonadota; Gammaproteobacteria; Enterobacterales; Enterobacteriaceae. The record is from RNAcentral.